GUUUUUUGAAAGAUACGAUUUAUUGUAUUCAAUCACUAAGAUCAAUAAAAAUUACUUUUUGCAGGAGUCAAACCAGAUAGUCUAAGAGCUUUAUCUGGAUCAAUCCAGACUGAGUUGCAGCCUUCCAACAAGACUGCAGACAGCUGCUGUAUCACUGCAAUGAACUACAUGUCGUCUUAACCUUGCCAAAAGAAUGAAAAAUUUCAAGCUCAUGAAACAGUGAAGCUAAAGAAAAGCUUGGAAUAAAUGAAGACAUUUAGAUCAAGUCUGCCCAUUAUUUUGCCUUCUCACAUUAACAAAAUCUUGAAGUGAAGAAGUGAAUCAAGUCUGUGAGCCAGCAGAGUAAGGCUAAGCUAUUGACUAUGGAAAGUGAUUUGAAAUAUUCCACCAAGCCCUAUCAAAUGGAUGGUAACUGCAAGAGGAUAAGCCCAUGAUAGAUAAGGUAUGGUACUCUAUAAGGAAGCCUGGGCAUACAAGUUCUGAUUGUAAUUAAAAAAAAAA
This 501-nucleotide long non-coding RNA is filed under the name Calidris pugnax (ruff). RNAcentral's name for it is "lncRNA (ENSCPUG00000007196.1)". The record is from RNAcentral. Lineage: Eukaryota; Metazoa; Chordata; Aves; Charadriiformes; Scolopacidae.